Molecule: ribosomal RNA, 406 nt
Filed under: uncultured bacterium
Lineage: Bacteria
Description: partial 16S ribosomal RNA
Rfam family: Bacterial small subunit ribosomal RNA
Source: RNAcentral
AUUGAACUCUGGCGGCAGUCAUAACACAUGCAAGUCGAGCGGAGCGGCGGACGGGUGAGGAAUGCCUAGGAAUCUGCCUGGUAGUGGGGGAUAACGUCCGGAAACGGGCUCUAAUACCGCAUACUAUCAGAUACUCCUAGGUCGGAUUAGCUAGUUGGUGGGGUAAAUGCCUACCAAGGCGAUGAUCCUUAACUGGUAUGAGAGGAUGAUCAGUCACAAUGGAACUGAGACACGGGCCAGACUCCUAGGGGAGGCAGCAGUGGUGAAUAUUGGACAAUGGGCGAAAGUCUGAUCCAGCCAUGCCGCGUGUGUGAAGAAGGGCUUCGGAUUGUAAAGCACUUUAAGUUGGGAGGCGUUACCAACAGAAUAAGCACCGGCUAACUGCGUGCCAGCAGCCGCGUAAUUC